This 3841-nucleotide ribosomal RNA is filed under the name bacterium. Its description in RNAcentral is "partial 23S ribosomal RNA". It matches the Rfam family "Bacterial large subunit ribosomal RNA", at positions 1 to 2510 of the family's 2925-position model. The record is from RNAcentral.
AGGGAAAGGUGAAAAGCAUCCCGGUAAGGGAGAUGAAAUAGUAUCUGAAACCAUAUACUUACAAAGAGUCGGAGCGGAUGCAUCACAUUGCAUGUGAUGCUGAAUUAUGAAUAAUGAAUCAUGAAUUAUGGUCGGAAAAUUUUAAAGAGAUUUUUCAUAAAACCAUGCUUCAUAAUUCUUAAUUCAUUAUUCUGCAUCGCGCGUAGCGCGAUGCAUCUGUGACGGCGUGCCUAUUGAGGAAUGAGUCAACGAGUUUGCUGUAUGUGGCUCACAUAAUCUCGUUAAACGAGAGCAUGUAAAGUGAAAGCGAGGGUUAAUCGCCCGUCUCUUACUUUUUAGAAAGCAGGCCUUAAAAACCUUCUUUCUAAAUUUUAAGAAAGUCGCAUAUACAAGACCCGAAGCCGGGUGAUCUAGCCAUGACCAGGUUGAACCCUCGAGAAAUCGAGGGGGAGGACCGAACCCACGAGCCGUGCAAAACUCGGGGAGGAGUUGUGGUUAGCGGUGAAAUUCCAAUCGAACUCGGCAAUAGCUGGUUCUCCUCGAAAUAGCUUUUGGGCUAGCCUCGAGCGUUUCUUUCUGGGGGUAGAGCACUGAAUGAGGAUAGGUCGCAAGAUACUGUCCUUAACCAAACUCCGAAUACCAGAAAAUUAAGCUCGGGAGUCAGACUAUGGGCGCUAAGGUUCAUUAGUCUAAAGGGAAACAGCCCUAAUCACAAUCUAAGGUCCCUAAAUAUAUGCUAAGUGUAAAAGGCGGUGUUGCGACUGCGACAACUAGGAGGUUGGCUUAGAAGCAGCCAUCCUUUAAAGAAAGCGUAACAGCUCACUAGUCAAGUUGCCGCGCGCCGAAAAUUUAUCGGGGCUAAGCAUAUUACCGAAGAUGUGGGUUUUCUGCCUUCGGGCAGAGAGCGGUAGAGGAGCGUUCUAAAUUCGCAGAAGCUCACGUUGUGAAGCGGAGUGGAGGAUUUAGAAGAGAGAAUGUUGACAUGAGUAGCAUAAAGGCAGGCGAAAACCCUGCCCACCAAAAAUUCAAGGUUUCCUGGGCAACGCAAAUCGACCCAGGGUUAGUCGGUCCUAAGACGAGGCCGGUGUAAUGCCGGCGUAGCCGAUGGAUGAGCUGGUUAAUAUUCCAGCACUGCCGUAAUCUUCCGAUGGGGGGACGCGGUUUGGAAAUUUGAACGUUUCUAUGGUAUGAGCGUUAAUGGCACUGGAAAUAGGUCUAGGCAAAUCCGUACCGACAUUUUCCGGUGUUGUUAAAAGACGAAGCCUCUGGUGGAGUCAAUUCAAAUGGAAAAACCGCCCAGAAAAACCUCUAGGGUCGCCGCAAGGCGAGUCGGAUUAUGGCAACCGUACCGCAAACCGACACAGGUGAAUAAGUCGAGUAGACUAAGGUGUACGAGAGAACUUUCGUUAAGGAACUCGGCAAAAUAGCGGUCGUAAGUUCGCAAUAAGACUUGCCUGCGAUUGUCAAAAAUAGUGUUUUAGUCAUCGAGAAAGGAGGUGAGAAAAAAUGACACAAAAGAAAAGAAAUUUUUCCAUUGAGUUAAUCGGCGGAGAUGUCCGAAACCAAAUCAUUACGGUGGAGGCGAAAGCGCCGAAAGGAGUCUUUAUCUCCAUCCAGAUGUUGAAAGGCCGAGGAGAUAGGACUUCGUCUAUUGACCUCUUUGGAAAGCCCCUUGGUAGGGCGCCAUUGAUUCUGGUGAAGGUGACGAAGAAGUCGCCAGAACAGCCAGGACAGUGAGACUCCCAAGUUUCAUUCGGCGAUUUAUGUUCAGAAUGUAAAUCGCCACUAUUUUUGGCAAUCGCAGGCCGCAGCUAAAGAAUUCAAGUGACUGUUUAACAAAAACACAGCUCCCUGCUAACUCGAAAGAGGAUGUAUAGGGGGUGAUGCCUGGCCAGUGUCCGAACGUUAAGGGGAGAAGUCAUUCCGCCGCAAGGCGGAGGCAGCUUUGAUCCGAAGCGCGGAUGAACGCCGGCGAUAACUAUAAGUUAACGAUUGUAGUUAUAAAAUUUGGCCAAAUGCUGGAAACUCCGGAGUAAAAAAUGUACUCGCCUGAAAAAUGGCAGUGAAAAUCAUUUUUUGUAUCCCGCCAUUCGGGAUGCCGGACAAUCAGCAGGAAAGACUCUUAAGAAAAAUACUAUGAGUAAUCAAGAUUGGUUAAAUAAGAUUCCAUUAGAUUGGGGACAUUAUUUAGCAGGAUUUACUGACGGAGAAGGAAGUUUCAAUGUUUCUCUCCGCAAAAGAGAAGAUCAUUUAAUGAAAUGGCAAGUUGUCUUGACAUUUAAUGUAUCCCAAAAAGAAUCUUACAUACUUUCGCAAUUAAAAAAAUAUUUAGGUUGCGGAAGAAUCCAGCAAAGGAUGGACGGACUGCACAUGUAUGUCUGCUCAAAUCCGUUAUCAAUUCAAGAACGAGUUAUUCCGUUUUUUCGGAAGUUUAAUCUUCGUUCUCAGCAAAAAAAGAAUAAUUUUUCUAUUUUUUGCCAGAUUGCCAAUAAGGUAUUUAAUAAAGAACAUUUAACUCAUCAAGGUUUAGAAGAGAUUAUUAGAAUAAGAGAGCGAUUAAAUGAAGGCAGAGGAAGAAAAAGAAAAUAUGAGUUAGGUGAUUUUCAGCAAUCGCAAAAAGAGUAUCCUCAGAGACUAUACGCCAAACCGCGGAAGUUCAGAAAAGAAUUUUCAGCGGAUGAUAUAGUCCGAUCUCAUGGGCAACCAUGAGCUUCAGAAAUAACUUAUCUGAAGAUUUCAAUAACAGUAAUUAUUGGAAUUAACAAGAAUAAAUCGUCCUAAGGUAGCGAAAUCCCUUGUCGGGUAAAAUAUGUCGGACUCCGAUUUAUCGGAGAAACACUUGCCCGAAUUUGCCGUAAGGCAAUGCGCUAAGGGAUAAAAAUAAUUAGCGUAAAAUUUGGCUAUAUGCUGGAAACUCCGGAGUAAAAAUGUACUCGCCCUAAAAAGGCAGUGAAAAUCAUUUUUUGUAUCCCGCCAUUCAGGGAUGCCGGACAAUCAGCAGGAAACCGACUUGCAUUUUGAAAUAUGGGAGAAGGCGAGGAAAUGUUUUGGCGUCACUGGCCUAUCGCCCGAAAGGGAAAAGUUUCUCGAUCGCGUGCGAUUGAGAAAUAAGUUAGUGCGUCUUCACCCAGAAACGGGUGACAGCAGCUGUUUACAGUUUGCUGUCACCCCCAUAUUUCAAAAUGUAAGCGGGAUCCUCAGAGACUAUACGCCAAACAUCCAUAACUGGAUGAUGAUAUAGUCCGAUCUCCAUAGCGAUAUGGAGUCCUGUAAAAAUGUUCAGGAAUAAAAACAAGCAUCAUGAUGAAAAAAUCAUUAAAUGAAGUUCCGACCUGCACGAAUGGCAUAACAACUUGAAUACUGUCUCAACGAAGGACUCGGUGAAAUUGCAAGAUGAGUAAAGAUGCUCAUUAACCAUAGUUGGACGAAAAGACCCCGUGAAGCUUUACUAUAGCUUGAUAUUGAGUUAGGGGCGCGCAUGUUCAGAAUAGGUGGGAGUUCGCCGCAAGGCGGACGCCAGUGAGAUACCACCCUUGUGUGCUUUUAAUUCUAACCCUUGUCCGUGAAUCCGGACUGGGAACAGUAUCUGGUGGGUAGUUUGUCUGGGGCGGAUGCCUCCCAAAAGGUAACGGAGGCGUUUACAAAGGUUGGCUAUCCCGGAAUGGAAACCCGGGAGAUAGCGUAAAGGCACAAGCCAGCUUUACUGCGAGACCUACAAGUCAAGCAGUCGCGAAAGCGGAACUUAGUGAUCCGACCGUACGAUAUAGGACGGCGGAAGCUCAACGGAUAAAAGUUACUCUGGGGAUAACAGGCUGAUCUCCUCCAAGAGUCCACAUCGACG